This is a long non-coding RNA of Anguilla rostrata (American eel), 397 nucleotides long. RefSeq lists it as uncharacterized. The transcript is spliced from 3 exons. Lineage: Eukaryota; Metazoa; Chordata; Actinopteri; Anguilliformes; Anguillidae. The record is from RefSeq and is a predicted model, not a curated record.
UGCACUUCGGCAACCCUGCUUCUUCUCGCAGUGUUUAGGGCCAGAAGCGUCUUCAGUUCAGUAUAGCGCAUUUGUAACGGUACUGUCUACCAAACGACCUGGCUUUUGAAAGUAGGCUAAUGACGAGAAGACUGAACUGAAUAUGAAAUACAACGACAGAAAAUGGCAGGUCUGUUCAAAGGACCUUCCUCAGUUGAUGGCGCACGAACACCUGCUACAGCCGCACUUUUGCUGAGUCUUGGGCAGAAAGCUCUCAAGGCCCCAGUACUCCCAGCACACCCGAUGCAGAGACACUGCCCAGUGCAUUGUGGGCCACACAGCGGUAAGUUCCCGCAUCCCCUGGUGCGAGGCCCUCGAUCUGGAGCCAGCUGGACAGCUCGUACUUCUGGGGACCCCC